UGAAAGAAGCUAGACACCAAAGGUCACAUACCACAUGAUUCCAUUUAUAUGAAAUGUCCAGAAUAGGCAAAUCCAUGGUGACAGAAAGCAGUUUAACAGUUGACAGG
Molecule: non-coding RNA, 107 nt
Organism: Ceratotherium simum simum (southern white rhinoceros)
Lineage: Eukaryota; Metazoa; Chordata; Mammalia; Perissodactyla; Rhinocerotidae
Source: RefSeq, a predicted model, not a curated record